This 500-nucleotide ribosomal RNA is filed under the name Polaribacter sp. SCB44. RNAcentral's name for it is "bacterial SSU rRNA". It matches the Rfam family "Bacterial small subunit ribosomal RNA", at positions 11 to 508 of the family's 1533-position model. Lineage: Bacteria; Pseudomonadati; Bacteroidota; Flavobacteriia; Flavobacteriales; Flavobacteriaceae. The record is from RNAcentral.
GUUUGAUCAUGGCUCAGGAUGAACGCUAGCGGCAGGCUUAACACAUGCAAGUCGAGGGGUAACAUUGUGCUUGCACAGAUGACGACCGGCGCACGGGUGCGUAACGCGUAUAGAACCUACCUUUUACAGAGGGAUAGCCUUUAGAAAUGAAGAUUAAUACCUCAUAGUAUUGCGAUUUGGCAUCAGGUUGUAAUUAAAGAUUUAUCGGUAAAAGAUGGCUAUGCGUCCUAUUAGUUAGUUGGUAAGGUAACGGCUUACCAAGACAUCGAUAGGUAGGGGUCCUGAGAGGGAGAUCCCCCACACUGGUACUGAGACACGGACCAGACUCCUACGGGAGGCAGCAGUGAGGAAUAUUGGACAAUGGAGGAGACUCUGAUCCAGCCAUGCCGCGUGCAGGAAGACUGCCCUAUGGGUUGUAAACUGCUUUUAUACAGGAAGAAACACUAGUACGUGUACUAGCUUGACGGUACUGUAAGAAUAAGGACCGGCUAACUCCGUGC